GAUGAACGCUGGCGGUGUGCCUAAUACAUGCAAGUCGAGCGAACAGACGAGGAGCUUGCUCCUCUGACGUUAGCGGCGGACGGGUGAGUAACACGUGGAUAACCUACCUAUAAGACUGGGAUAACUUCGGGAAACCGGAGCUAAUACCGGAUAAUAUAUUGAACCGCAUGGUUCAAUAGUGAAAGACGGUUUUGCUGUCACUUAUAGAUGGAUCCGCGCCGCAUUAGCUAGUUGGUAAGGUAACGGCUUACCAAGGCGACGAUGCGUAGCCGACCUGAGAGGGUGAUCGGCCACACUGGAACUGAGACACGGUCCAGACUCCUACGGGAGGCAGCAGUAGGGAAUCUUCCGCAAUGGGCGAAAGCCUGACGGAGCAACGCCGCGUGAGUGAUGAAGGUCUUCGGAUCGUAAAACUCUGUUAUUAGGGAAGAACAAAUGUGUAAGUAACUAUGCACAUCUUGACGGUACCUAAUCAGAAAGCCACGGCUAACUACGUG
RNAcentral lists this ribosomal RNA (497 nucleotides) under uncultured bacterium. Its description in RNAcentral is "partial 16S ribosomal RNA". It matches the Rfam family "Bacterial small subunit ribosomal RNA", at positions 28 to 507 of the family's 1533-position model. The record is from RNAcentral.